GGGCGGACGUAAAAGGCACACGCGCUUCCCGGCGCCGGCUUCCGGCCCGGCGAGGUUUGAGCGCGUCCGCGGGCUGGGAGGCCGCUGGACCCGGGCGCAUGGCCUCCCCCGGGCAGUUAUCUCCUUGCCGCGACCUUGAGGUCUUCGACCGUGUGCUGUCCUGGAGCCAGUGAAACCAGACGAAAUUAAGGGAACAGCAGACGAAGGAACUGCCACCGUGCCCCAGACCCUGGUUUGCAAAUACAGUUCGACAAAGAUCUUGCCAGGAAUUGGCCUGGGAGAGUCCAAAGGACUGGGCUGGGGGUGGGGAAAUGAUUUUAGCCAGAAGACAAAUAUAGAGGUUGUACCCAGAAGGUUAAGAGGCUUAGGAAGGUUAAGAACUACGUUAACAUUUGGCUCCCAGGACCCCAGGUAAAGUGCCCUUGGAUUGAAUAGAUUUCUGAACUCCAGAAACAUUUAGAGGAAUCAAUAGAAUUAGAUUGGCAGCCAUUGUGCCAAUGGACAAGUGCUUACUGAGCCCCUUAAUCCCUUCACUGGGUAAGCAUUUGCCACACAUGUCCUCAAAAACCUACUUGUUAGCUUAAGUGGACUCCCUCAAGUUCAGAACAGGAGCAAAUAGUGUAAUCACAAGUUCCGUGUCUGAAUAAUCAUAACAAUGUUUAUAAAAAUAAGGACGACUGUUGAAAACUGCAACUGCAGCUGAACCUUAUGUGCCCAGACUUCAGAAUUCCCAUAGGCAAAAUGCCAGCAGGCCUUUGCACACUGAACACAUAGUGUUCAUAUCCUUCACUUUCCUUUCCUGCCCUCUCCUAUCUUCUCCAGAUCUGCCUGUGAAAGGACCCAAUUCUAGGACCCCCCAGGAUGGUUAGGCCCUUCCUCUGAAAGUACACUUUGCAAUUUGUUAGUCUCCUCAAGAACCCCAGCGAUCGAAACUGAUGCACACAAAUUGCAUGUGUUCAAAGGAGCAAUUUUGAAUCUAGCUUUGUUGAUCCUGGGAGAAAUCUUUGACCUGUGUUAGUGAAAGGCUAUGGUGUUUCUCAGCUGAUUAUAAUAGCGAGGUAGCUGAAUGCAAAAAAACAGUUUCAGAGAAUGGUAGAGUAUAUCCUCCAAAGGUGAUACUCGCUUCUCUAUUCUGGUGAGAGAAACAAGAGCUAAAGCAAAAUUCUACAGAGGGCUUUAUUUGGAGAGAGGUGGAUUUUAUUUAUAAUGCAUUUAAAAUUCAAAAUCUUUCUAGUUUGAACUCUUGACAUUCUGAUUAAUGCAUUUUUAUUCAACUGUUAAUUAUUCCUCGAUACACCUCGCCAUCACUUGUGUAUCCCUUUUCUACAUGUGACCUUUCCCUGGCCACAUCUGCUACUCUCUUUGAGCAUGAUGCCUCUACUGUAUUCUAUUCCAGAGCUCAUUGUUUUGUCAGUUUUUUUUCUCUCCACAAAAAAAGAUGAUCAAAUAAUUACAUAGAAUUUUUCCCUUCUCAGUCUUUGGGUAACUAAGUGUGGUUUUAUUGACGAUGAAAUACAAGAUGGGUCAUUUAAAA
Molecule: long non-coding RNA, 1534 nt
Organism: Homo sapiens (human)
Lineage: Eukaryota; Metazoa; Chordata; Mammalia; Primates; Hominidae
Gene: SLC25A5-AS1
Product: SLC25A5 antisense RNA 1
Source: Ensembl